Molecule: long non-coding RNA, 524 nt
Filed under: Capsicum annuum
Lineage: Eukaryota; Viridiplantae; Streptophyta; Magnoliopsida; Solanales; Solanaceae
Description: long non-coding RNA (CANN_LNC021457)
Source: RNAcentral
CUCUUUUAUGUGGUAUCACUCAUGUAACUCUUGUAACUCAUGAAAAAUCAAAGUCAUUGAUCUUCCCUCUUUACUACCAUCAUUCAUUCUUCCUGAUCAUUGCACAGAAGAUUUCUUCACCUAUAAAUAGAGGGAGUCUUGUAUGAUUUUGGUACACAAACAUACACAAGAUAUUAUAGAGUUCACAAAAAAGUUAGUAAAAAAAAGAGUUUGUUAGUUGAAGAGAGGUGUUCUUUUGUGGAGCUUUGAACUCAACUCUUGUCCAGAGUUGUUGUGAGAAGGUUAUUGUAUCCUAGGGGACAAGUAAAGAAGAUUACUACUGGACCGGUGAAACAUUUUGCUGCAGUGGACUUGAAUCUCUUUAAGGAGAGCGAGAUAUCCGCGCCUCAGCCAAAGAAGAAGAAGAUAUUUUUUUUUUAUUUUCUUCACUUGUAAUUUUUAGUUGUAUUUUUAUUAUAAUUUCACCAAUAAUUUUAAGAAGAUUCAAUGGCAACAACUGAAAAAUUCGCGGAUAUCAAGAUAGG